GAGUUAUAUAUUGUACAUUUAUACAGUAUUUACUUUUUUCAUAGGCACUCAUAAAUGCCCUGGCUGUCUCCUGGCUGGGAGAUCUCCUCACAGGAGGCUGAGCCGUUCUUCCUUUCUGGUCUGGAUUAUCAUUGCAGAGUUGAAGCCAUUCCUGCAGCAACUGGUGGAAAACGGGAUCUUUUUGGUGCUUUUGUUCUAGCAUAAUAAUUUUGUUCUUUCGUAUAAUAUGAAUAAAUACAUAUGUAGGCCUAUAUAAAUAAAUUCAUGCUUGAAUCAUU
Pimephales promelas (fathead minnow) is the source of this 278-nucleotide long non-coding RNA. RefSeq lists it as uncharacterized. Lineage: Eukaryota; Metazoa; Chordata; Actinopteri; Cypriniformes; Leuciscidae. The record is from RefSeq and is a predicted model, not a curated record.